Molecule: long non-coding RNA, 860 nt
Organism: Teleopsis dalmanni
Lineage: Eukaryota; Metazoa; Arthropoda; Insecta; Diptera; Diopsidae
Exons: 2
Source: RefSeq, a predicted model, not a curated record
AAUAUAAAAGUAAUUUAUCACAUGUCGUUUUGACUUUUCAUUACCCCAAAAUUCAAAAUUCGAAAUGGAUCCCGACACUAUAAAGUCUAUAUUUUUGUUUAUGUGCUUCAUGUUCAUAACAAUUAUAGUAAGAGUUCAAUCUCAUUAUUUUAAUAUGGUCCAUAUGCAUUACUAUUUGUCGGAGAACAUUAUCUACACCCCCAGCACGUUGCAAGAAAAUCGAAAUCCUCAAACCAAUCCAUUAAUAGACAGCCUUGCCAAAAAAGCGAUUUUUGAACAAAUAAAAGAUGUCUUGGAAAUGGGUAAAUAUAACCAACUACAGCAAAUGAAAAAGAGAAUAUAUAAUUUAUCGGGGACUUCAACAUCGAGUUUAAACACUUUCCUCGAAAAUGAACGUUGAGCAUUUCACUGGAAUAUUUAUCAAAAGCAUCGCUGGUAUAUGAACAUCUAAUGAAUCCUACAUUAACAAAAGGUUCUGUGAUAGUGUUAUGAAAGCAUUUUGACUUAAACAGUUGAUCUAUGUAUUUUAAGAAAAUUGGGGUACAAAGUAUUUGAAAAGUUUCAGAAUUACCAGCUACACUUACGAAAAUAUAAUAACGAGAACAGAGAAGUGAUAUUCAAGAAAUGAAUUAAUUGAAACCUAUAUAGAUGAUCAGCAGUCCACUAUAUUCGCUUUGCAAUUCAACUUUAAUAGACUUAUACUUUAGAAGAAUAUUGUGAAUUUUACUAAUACCAGCUGAAAAUAAGGUUACCGAAAGUGGAUCUAUAUUUUGAGAAAUUUACCAAACCACAAAAUAAAAAAACGAUUGAAACUAACAUUUGGAUUAACAAACAUUUGACAAUAAAUUAUGUAAAUAAAA